RNAcentral lists this ribosomal RNA (474 nucleotides) under uncultured bacterium. RNAcentral describes it as "bacterial SSU rRNA". It matches the Rfam family "Bacterial small subunit ribosomal RNA", at positions 335 to 803 of the family's 1533-position model. The record is from RNAcentral.
ACUCCUACGGGAGGCAGCAGUGGGGAAUAUUGGACAAUGGGGGAACCCGUGAUCCAGCCAUGCCGCGUGUGUGAAGAAGGCCUUAUGGUUGUAAAGCACUUUAAGCGAGGAGGAGGCUACUGAGACUAAUACUCUUGGAUAGUGGACGUUACUCGCAGAAUAAGCACCGGCUAACUCUGUGCCAGCAGCCGCGGUAAUACAGAGGGUGCGAGCGUUAAUCGGAUUUACUGGGCGUAAAGCGUGCGUAGGCGGCUUUUAAGUCGGAUGUGAAAUCCCCGAGCUUAACUUGGGAAUUGCAUUCGAUACUGGGGAAGCUAGAGUAUGGGAGAGGAUGGUAGAAUUCCAGGUGUAGCGGUGAAAUGCGUAGAGAUCUGGAGGAAUACCGAUGGCGAAGGCAGCCAUCUGGCCUAAUACUGACGCUGAGGUACGAAAGCAUGGGAGCAAACAGGAUUAGAUACCCCUGGUAGCGACUGA